Molecule: long non-coding RNA, 3161 nt
Organism: Oreochromis aureus
Lineage: Eukaryota; Metazoa; Chordata; Actinopteri; Cichliformes; Cichlidae
Source: Ensembl
GGAAAAAGAAAUAAGAACGGAAACAUUCCAAUUAAAGCAUUGGCGGAGAGUGACGGUGACGUUAUACUAAAUUAGCAAACUGAUAUUACAUAGUUAAGCAAAAGUUAAUACAAGAGAGUGUGAGUGAAGAGAAUAGCGCAGCGGAUUCUUAUCUGGUGUGCGGUCAAUACAGCCAUGGAGUGAUGCGGGGUCGCGGUAGAGCUGUCCGUCCACGUAGAGCCGGUCCAUGGCGAUGACAGCCCGGAGCCUUUCUGAAUAAAACUACGUCGGACUGGGAACAGGACCCUGCGUCGUUCCAGGAUCUCUCUGGGGAACUGGUCGUUCACGCUGAAGUCCGUUCCUUUCAGCUCUCUGCCGCGACUCUUCACCUGCUCCUUCUGCUUAAAGUGGCCGAAUUUGGCCACAAUAGGACGCGGUCUCCCGCUUCCUGUCUUCGGAGCCCCGAUGCGAUGCACUCUUUCAAACCCUGUUUUUCACCGUGUCCUCCGGCAGCUUCAGGUGGAUUUUAAUGAAGCUUCUCACGGUCGUUUCCGGGUCCUCUCCGGCAGACUCUGGAAUACCAGAAAACACAAGAUUAUCUCUCAUGCUACGGGCUUGUAAAUCCAUAACGGUCUCUUUUAUUUUUUUAUUUUCUAUGUUUAAUUGGGUCACAUUUUCGGUUAGAGAUUUGACCGAGUCCCGUAGCGUGGCGUUUUCUGCAGCAAGUGUUUCCACCUGCUUCUGGCUGAACUCCAGGGAUUCUUUUAGAGAUUGAAAUUCCCGGUGUAAGAUCUCCACCAGGGACAGCCUCGCAUCAAAACUGGACAAUCGCUUAUCGAUUGACUCCAGGAUGUCGACGAUAUCUUUGCCGGCAGGCGAUGUUGUGCCGGGGGAGUCUGCGGGGCGAUAUCUUUUAGAUGAUGGCGUCUCAGUUUUGGCCGGGGAAGACAUGCUCUGGGCCUUCUUCAUUACUAAAUCUUCGAAGCACCGGUCGAUGUAUUCUUGGAGAGCGUCUAAACUCUCCUCGUUGUUCUCCAGGGUGUUAGAGAUGAUAGGACAGAUGUUGUUAGUUAUAUGACAGUUGGUUAGUUUAUUUGACAAUACUGAAGAUUAAAGAAACUUUGUUAAAUUCUAGGCUACCAUUCGUUUGUUUUGUUUUUUUCCGCCAAAUCUCCGGCGUCUGACGUCACCUACAACAUGGGUCCUUACCUUACCGCCGUCACUUACCUCUCACUCCGUUUUUGCAUAUACGUGUGGACGAGGAAAACGGAGAAAACGCAGCGUCAAAGCGUGAAAUCAGGGAACAGUUAUUUACAAAUGACUUUCCCGCAAUGAAGACAUCCCACCACCACCAGCAGCGCCACCAUCGCCACAGUGAACACAGUCCGUGAGAUGAGGUAAAUACGGCAGACGAGUGGUCUCUCUGAGUCUCUGUGUGAUCGGCUGCAGAGAUGGUCACAUGUAUGAGACACAGCUGACUUUAAGUGUAUUUAAAGCAUUUUUAAAAAAUAUAUAAUUUGGUGAUUAAAAUAUUAUCACAUACUACAUUUCUGUUGAAUAGCUAAAAUGGGCUGGCCUUCGUCACCUUGGUUAAUUAUUGAUUAUGUGAUUAUUAACCUGUAUAUAUCACCAAUAUUAACCUCUCAUCUCAUGCUGAGUGUCUAAGAAAGCAUCUUUUUCUCAGCUCACGUGAACUGAAAACAGGACAAUGACCAAUAUUUAUUUAGUGGCUUAUUGAUUUAAAGGUCUGAACGAAUAACUGGGAAACUUUUGUCACUUUACUAUCAUCUGUUACUGCCUUUAUAAAUGAGAUACAAGUCUGAGUCAAGUCAAGUAUACUUGAGUUUAAACUCCUCAGUGUGACAGUGACUGUGACCAGUGUAACCUGUUUUAGUAAUCGAAAUUAGCAAUAUUGUGGAAAUACUUCAGAAUAGUUCAAAAAUGGUACCAAUAAAUAGACAGCAGCUUUUCUUAGUGCAGGAAAAAUAAUCAUUUAUAUCACACUUGUAUGUAUCUUAUUUGAAACGUUGCUGUUUCUCACCUGUGACACAUGGCAGAGAGACAGACAGCCAGCUCUCUGGUGAUUCUCCACCUCCUGAGAUCUUGCACGUGUAAAGUUCUUAAUCAGACUUGUAAACUCUGUGGAUGGUCAUGUUUCCUGUUGAGCUGUUCCCUAUGUGAUGCCCAUAUUUAUAGAAAUCAGCUGCAAUAUUGGAGGAAAUCAUCUUGUUUCUGCAGAGCAGCGUCACAUCUUCUCCCUCCAGGAUCACAGAACCAGCUGAAUGACAUGAGAUGAGCUUUAUUUGCUAUGAAAUUCAUUUAAAACAAUCAUGAAGUAACUUUUGUCUUGAUUCAAACAUACCAGUGACAGAGAUGUUGACACUGUUGCCUUUCCUCCCUCCUUCAAUCUCACACCAGUGCUCUCCACCAUCGUCCAAAUAAAGACUUGUCAUAAUGCACAACGACUUCACACUUUUUUGACUACAGCACUGGACCUCCCUAACUCUCCAAAAGUUGAUUCUGUUCAUCUGGACGUAGCGUUUUGUGGGAGAAACGUUUCAUCACUCAUCGAAGUGACUUCUUCAGUCUGAAGAAGUCACUUGCCUUGUGUCUGCUCCCUCCUGGAAUCAGAAAGACAGACAAAAACAAAACCCAUCUCCCUGCCUGUACUUGAUCAUUUUACUAUUACUCAUUCUAAUAUCUAGCUCAGGACAUUCUGUUUGGACUGAAUGACAAAAAGUUUUGUCAUAACUUACAGCAACAAAGGGGUAAGGUAACAAAAUUAUUUUUUCAAGCAUAAAUUUUGGGUCACCAGUUUGGUUCAACUGCAUAUUUUAAUUUGUUGCUAUUUCUUAAAAAGAAAAUAUAUACAAUUUAAAUAAUCUACAUUUACUUCAUAUCUUUGUUGUCACUUUGUAGAUUAAUCUCACAAAAUACGUUUGACUAAUAAAAUAUUUUACAGUGUUGUGCUUAACUCCCUAAAUUACCUGCCGAGGCUUCACUCAUUCAUUGUUAUGACCCCACUUUGACCUUUGAAAAAAAGGUUUCUAAUUUUGCAUAUGACGGACAUGAGGUGGUUGUGGCAUUAGUAGAAAACUUUAACAGACCUUUAUAGCCUGUUAAACAGAAGUUUACUUUUAGAAGUUAAAUAGAAGUAUUUAAGGAAGCUAAGCCCAGAGGAG